RNAcentral lists this long non-coding RNA (1207 nucleotides) under Callithrix jacchus (white-tufted-ear marmoset). Its description in RNAcentral is "lncRNA (ENSCJAG00000078743.1)". The record is from RNAcentral. Lineage: Eukaryota; Metazoa; Chordata; Mammalia; Primates; Cebidae.
CAAGAAAUGAGGGCAGAGAGUUAGGAAGAGGCGGACUCAGCAGGACCUGGUGGGCCAUGGUGAAAAAAACCACCUGCUGCUCAGCCUGCAGGGAAGCCAGGGGAGGAGCUAUAAGUGGUAGAAGGACAUGAUCUAUGUCUUUUCAGAAUCACUUGGGCACCUACACUAUGGGGGCACAUGGCAAAACAGAGGGACCGGUUGGCCUGGAGAUAGUCAUUGCUAAGAGCAUGGGGUGGUUUAUUUUACCCUGGCAGUAGCAUCCCUUACAUACUUACAGGAAGGACCAUUGACUAGGUGAAGCGAGUCUGGAAGUACCUUUCAACCCAGCAGUUGCUCAAGGAAGAAGGGUAGAUGCUCAUUUUUUGUGUGUGUGCCUCCAGAUCUUUCCACCCGAAACCAUAACCUGCCAUCUUUCUCCCAUUCUAAAUUCACUAAUAAUGUUCCAGACGUGAGGCACAUAUUUUCUGUGCAUGUGGAGAGGUGCAAACGUGUGCACAUAGGCAUUUGCACAUGGCUGUAAAUUAAUGGCUCAUACUUAAGGGAGAAGCAAGUACCAGCUCCUGCUAUGUAUGGUCAGCCUGUGUUUUCUCUUUCUUUCCCUAGGCAUGAAAAUGCUGCAUUUUGUAUUUUUCCCUCACUGUGAUCAUUCUGUUUUUGUGACUGUGUAUUAGUUACCCUGGCAACGUGCUAGACUUGAAUUUGAUUGGCCAGGUUGCCAGGUUCAUUGUGAGAGCCAGGGGCCCAUUUUUGAGCGCUAGACCUGCACACAGCUUACCACAGCUAUACAGACAAGCUUGGUCAGGAAAACCUGACUGAGCAGAGCUUCUGCACCCGCUUUGUCUGCCAGAGGGACCCUUCCAGCACCUGCUGUGUGGAUGUCUUUGCAUUGCUGUUGAAAAGAUGCAAGAGCUCAUCUGUAUCUUUGAAAUGUCUGUCAGAAAAUGUGCUUAGCAUUGUCCAUCUUCAUUGUCUAACACAUCAGUAAUCCCCCAAAAUGGAAGUGGUAGGACUCCUGACCCUCGAGAGGACUGCUUGUGCUCAGAUGUGUGUGCAAGGAAGGUUCUUCUGGAAAUAUCCCUCUCCUGACCAGGAGUCACUUGAAUUCGAAAUGGCACUGAGGCAGCCAUAUUGUGACCAUAAAGAAAAAGCCAAGAACAUCAGAAACAGUGGCCUGGCCAUUGCACAGUCAUCUAAACACACCUCUGGA